CUUUGACAAUGGAUCUCUUGGUUCUCGCAACGAUGAAGAACGCAG
This 45-nucleotide ribosomal RNA is filed under the name uncultured Neocallimastigaceae. Its description in RNAcentral is "partial 5.8S ribosomal RNA". The record is from RNAcentral. Lineage: Eukaryota; Fungi; Neocallimastigomycota; Neocallimastigomycetes; Neocallimastigales; Neocallimastigaceae.